GGAGUGGCUCGGGUGAUGCGCGGGGCGGACAAGCAAGCUUGCUUCGGCAAGCAGUUGCUCGCUCUGAGGAAAGUCCGAGCUCCACAGGGCAGGAUGCUGGGUAACGCCCAGGGGGGGUGACCCCACAGCCAGUGCCACAGAAAACAAACCGCCCGUCACAGGGGCAACCGUGAGGCGGGUAAGGGUGAAAUGGUGAGGUAAGAGCUCACCGCGUCUUCGGUGACGGAGACGGCACGGUAAACCUCAUCCGGAGCAAGGCCAAAUAGGGGAGGAGAGGUGGCCCGCCUCGUUACGACUCCCGGGUAGGCCGCACCGAGGCGACGGGUAACCGUCGCCCCAGAUGAAUGCUCACCGGGCGACCGCCGGCUUUGGUCUGCAGUCGCUCACAGAACUCGGCUUACAGAGCCACUCCGGUC
RNAcentral lists this RNase P RNA (416 nucleotides) under Candidatus Latescibacterota bacterium. RNAcentral's name for it is "RNase P RNA component class A". It matches the Rfam family "Bacterial RNase P class A". From Rfam's summary of the family: Ribonuclease P (RNase P) is a ubiquitous endoribonuclease, found in archaea, bacteria and eukarya as well as chloroplasts and mitochondria. Its best characterised activity is the generation of mature 5'-ends of tRNAs by cleaving the 5'-leader elements of precursor-tRNAs. Cellular RNase Ps are ribonucleoproteins. The record is from RNAcentral. Lineage: Bacteria; Pseudomonadati; Candidatus Latescibacterota.